CAUAGGUUAAUGAGGCGAACCGGGGGAACUGAAACAUCUAAGUACCCCGAGGAAAAGAAAUCAACCGAGAUUCCCCCAGUAGCGGCGAGCGAACGGGGAGCAGCCCAGAGCCUGAAUCAGUGUGUGUGUUAGUGGAAGCGUCUGGAAAGGCGCGCGAUACAGGGUGACAGCCCCGUACACAAAAAUGCACAUGCUGUGAGCUCGAUGAGUAGGGCGGGACACGUGGUAUCCUGUCUGAAUAUGGGGGGACCAUCCUCCAAGGCUAAAUACUCCUGACUGACCGAUAGUGAACCAGUACCGUGAGGGAAAGGCGAAAAGAACCCCGGCGAGGGGAGUGAAAAAGAACCUGAAACCGUGUACGUACAAGCAGUGGGAGCACAGAGCAAUCUGUGUGACUGCGUACCUUUUGUAUAAUGGGUCAGCGACUUAUAUUCUGUAGCAAGGUUAACCGAAUAGGGGAGCCGAAGGGAAACCGAGUCUUAACUGGGCGUUAAGUUGCAGGGUAUAGACCCGAAACCCGGUGAUCUAGCCAUGGGCAGGUUGAAGGUUGGGUAACACUAACUGGAGGACCGAACCGACUAAUGUUGAAAAAUUAGCGGAUGACUUGUGGCUGGGGGUGAAAGGCCAAUCAAACCGGGAGAUAGCUGGUUCUCCCCGAAAGCUAUUUAGGUAGCGCCUCGUGAAUUCAUCUCCGGGGGUAGAGCACUGUUUCGGCAAGGGGGUCAUCCCGACUUACCAACCCGAUGCAAACUGCGAAUACCGGAGAAUGUUAUCACGGGAGACAC
RNAcentral lists this ribosomal RNA (785 nucleotides) under Escherichia coli. RNAcentral describes it as "partial 23S ribosomal RNA". It matches the Rfam family "Bacterial large subunit ribosomal RNA", at positions 165 to 987 of the family's 2925-position model. The record is from RNAcentral. Lineage: Bacteria; Pseudomonadati; Pseudomonadota; Gammaproteobacteria; Enterobacterales; Enterobacteriaceae.